This 492-nucleotide ribosomal RNA is filed under the name uncultured bacterium. RNAcentral describes it as "partial 16S ribosomal RNA". It matches the Rfam family "Bacterial small subunit ribosomal RNA", at positions 29 to 507 of the family's 1533-position model. The record is from RNAcentral.
AGUGAACGCUGGCGGUAUGCCUAACACAUGCAAGUCGAACGGCAGCACAGUAAGAUCUCGCUCUUACGGUUGGCGACGGACGGACGAGUAAGGAAUACAUCGGCAUCUACUUUUACUGGGGUAACAACGUAGAGCAACUUACACUACUACCGCAUACGUCCUACGGCUGAAAUCAGAAGAGCUUCACACCUUUCCCGACUCAAAUAGCCGACGUCGCAUUAGCUAGUUGGUUUGGUAAAGGCCCACCAAGGCGACGAUGCGUAGCAGAGCUGAGAGGAUGAUCGGCCACACUGGAACUGAGACACGGUCCAGACUCCUACGGGAGGCAGCAGUAGGGAAUCUUCCACAAUGGGCGAAAGCCUGACGCAGCAAUGCCGCGUGAGUGAUGAAGGUCUUCGGGUUGUAAAGCUCUGUUGUUAGGAAAGAACAGAUGCAGAUUAAUACCUGCAUGUCUUGACGGUACCCAAUCAAUAAGCCACGGCUAACUUCGUG